UACGUAGGGUGCAAGCGUUAUCCGGAAUUAUUGGGCGUAAAGAGCUCGUAGGCGGUUUGUCGCGUCUGCUGUGAAAACCGGAGGCUCAACCUCCGGCCUGCAGUGGGUACGGGCAGACUAGAGUGCGGUAGGGGAGAUUGGAAUUCCAGGUGUAGCGGUGAAAUGCGUAGAUAUCUGGAGGAACACCGGUGGCGAAGGCGGCAUCCUGGACCGACACUGACACUGAGGAGCGAAAGCCAGGGGAGCAAACGGG
This 253-nucleotide ribosomal RNA is filed under the name uncultured bacterium. Its description in RNAcentral is "partial 16S ribosomal RNA". It matches the Rfam family "Bacterial small subunit ribosomal RNA", at positions 524 to 776 of the family's 1533-position model. The record is from RNAcentral.